CCUACGGGAGGCAGCAGUGGGGAAUAUUGCACAAUGGGGGAAACCCUGAUGCAGCGACGCCGCGGGAAGGAAGAAGGAUUUCGGUAUGUAAACUUCUAUCAGCAGGGAAGAAAAUGACGGUACCUGACUAAGAAGCCCCGGCUAACUACGUGCCAGCAGCCGCGGUACUACGUAGGGGGAAAGCGUUAUCCGGAUUUACUGGGUGUAAAGGGAGCGUAGGCGGUUUAGGAAGUCAGAAGUGAAAGCCCGGGGCUCAACUCCGGGACUGCUUUUGAAACUGUUGAACUAGAUUGCAGGAGAGGUAAGUGGAAUUCCUAGUGUAGCGGUGAAAUGCGUAGAUAUUAGGAGGAACACCAGUGGCGAAGGCGGCUUACUGGACUGUAAAUGACGCUGAGGCUCGAAAGCGUGGGGAGCAAACAGGAUUAGAUACCCGUGUAGUC
Molecule: ribosomal RNA, 440 nt
Filed under: uncultured bacterium
Lineage: Bacteria
Description: partial 16S ribosomal RNA
Rfam family: Bacterial small subunit ribosomal RNA
Source: RNAcentral